UCACUUUGGUAGCACAUAUACCCCAAUUGGAAGGAUACGAAGAAGAUCAGCAUGGCCCCUGUGCAAGGAUGACAUGCAAAUUCAUGAAGUGUUCCAUAUUUUA
This 103-nucleotide small nuclear RNA is filed under the name Sciurus vulgaris (Eurasian red squirrel). The record is from RNAcentral. Lineage: Eukaryota; Metazoa; Chordata; Mammalia; Rodentia; Sciuridae.